AAGCCGUGAUCCAUCCGAAUAAACGGCAGACUGUCAUCCCUGCCAAAAUCUGAGCUCGCGUCCGCAGAGGUCCAUGGCGUCCAAGUCCGUCGAGCUGCGCAUGACGCUGCUGGGCGUGGCCCUGCUAGGGCUGCUGCUGCUGAGCCAGCACGCGGCGCCCGUCGAUGCUGCCGAGAGCGACGGCCCCAGAAAGGAAAAGACUAGCUUCAGCAUGAACGUCGUCGGCGGCCGCACUCUCAGCAGCUUCAGCAUGAACUCCGCAUACAGCGAGAAGAAGCCCAGCAGCAAGGGCGCAAGCGCAACUGAUCCCGCACACGGGUGAUGUUCCACAUCCAUGCCUAUAGGCCACUCACCUCACCACGCAGCGUUACCGGCCGUACUACUAUAUCUACAUACGACCGUGGGACAACGUCGACCGGAGCUCGAUCGGCGCAGUUGCCGCAUGGGCGUGGCUGUCAAAGUUCCUUUGUUUCUUUCUUGAUUUGUGCUUGCGUUGGGUUCGGUGUUCCACUUUCUUUUUAUGUGAUUAUUAAUCUUGUUUUCAGAUGCAUGUACGCAUGUAUGUGCCGGCACCAUUUGGUCUUGUGUUAAGUUUAUUCUUGGAUUCCAAUCUCUAGUGUAGGGUCGUUUGGUUUGUGUGUGCAUGUUGUACUC
Molecule: long non-coding RNA, 654 nt
Filed under: Zea mays
Lineage: Eukaryota; Viridiplantae; Streptophyta; Magnoliopsida; Poales; Poaceae
Description: long non-coding RNA (ZMAY_LNC005103)
Source: RNAcentral